This 252-nucleotide ribosomal RNA is filed under the name uncultured bacterium. Its description in RNAcentral is "partial 16S ribosomal RNA". It matches the Rfam family "Bacterial small subunit ribosomal RNA", at positions 524 to 776 of the family's 1533-position model. The record is from RNAcentral.
UACGUAGGGCGCAAGCGUUGUCCGGAAUUAUUGGGCGUAAAGAGCUCGUAGGCGGCUUGUUGCGUCGGUUGUGAAAGCCCGGGGCUUAACCCCGGGUCUGCAGUCGAUACGGGCAGGCUAGAGUGUGGUAGGGGAGAUCGAAUUCCUGGUGUAGCGGUGAAAUGCGCAGAUAUCAGGAGGAACACCGGUGGCGAAGGCGGAUCUCUGGGCCAUUACUGACGCUGAGGAGCGAAAGCGUGGGGAGCGAACAGG